AUUGAACGCUGGCGGAAUGCUUUACACAUGCAAGUCGAGCGGCAGCGCGGGGCAACCUGGCGGCGAGCGGCGAACGGGUGAGUAAUGCAUCGGAACAUGUCCAUUUGUGGGGGAUAGCCCGGCGAAAGCCGGAUUAAUACCGCAUGAGCCCGAGAGGGGAAAGUGGGGGACUCGGAAGGGCCUCACGCGAAUGGGUUGGCCGAUGUCCGAUUAGCUAGUUGGUGGGGUAAAGGCUCACCAAGGCGAUGAUCGGUAGCUGGUCUGAGAGGAUGAUCAGCCACACUGGGACUGAGACACGGCCCAGACUCCUACGGGAGGCAGCAGUGGGGAAUUUUGGACAAUGGGGGAAACCCUGAUCCAGCCAUUCCGCGUGAGUGAAGAAGGCCUUCGGGUUGUAAAGCUCUUUUGUCCGGAGCGAAACGGUUGUGGUGAAUAUCCACGACUACUGACGGUACCGGAAGAAUAAGCACCGGCUAACUACGUGCCAGCCGCCGCGGUAA
This 500-nucleotide ribosomal RNA is filed under the name uncultured bacterium. Its description in RNAcentral is "partial 16S ribosomal RNA". It matches the Rfam family "Bacterial small subunit ribosomal RNA", at positions 29 to 523 of the family's 1533-position model. The record is from RNAcentral.